This 1153-nucleotide long non-coding RNA is filed under the name Ananas comosus (pineapple). RNAcentral describes it as "long non-coding RNA (ACOM_LNC000052)". The record is from RNAcentral. Lineage: Eukaryota; Viridiplantae; Streptophyta; Magnoliopsida; Poales; Bromeliaceae.
AUCAACUCUCAUAUUUGUUGUUGUAGUUCGAUUGAUCAGUGGCGUAUUUGUUCGUUUUCAUGUGUUUUUUUGGAUUGUAGCAAUUUAUUGUUAUAACACUCUUUACUGCUAUUUGCAAUUUAUUGUCGUUAAAAUGAACCUGAUGAUCUGAAACUGGCAUCUUGGCUCUGGACACUUACUGUUAGUUCUCUUUUCUCUUUAUUGUGCUUGCUUUGCUGCUUGAACUGAUCUAGCAUUUUAGCAUUGUGCUCGAUUACGCGAAUCAAAUUGAUCCAACAUCUUAACUUUCAAUUUGCUGGGGAGUUUUUUUUUCCCCCUCUUUAUUGUUCUAACUAUGCUCUGUGAACUGACCUGCUUCUACCAUUUGCAUCUUUAAGGGCCUCAGAGGGCUUUAUGCUGGUUUUUCUCCGGCAGUUCUUGGAUCUNCUCCGCCGCCGCCGCCGCCGCCGCCGCCGCCGACGACGACGACGACGAUGACGACGAUGUGGUCGGAGGAUUGGAAGUGGGAGAACGCGGCGGCGGGAGCCGUCGCCGGGUUCGCCACCGUCGCCGCUCUCCACCCUCUCGACGUCGUACGCACCAGGUUCCAAGGUCUCUCUCUCUCUCUCUCUCUCUCUCUCUCUCUCUCUCUCUCUCUCUAGCGCUCUCUCUAAUUUCAUGUCUUUUUGCGUCAGUGAGUGAUGGGCGACCGUCGAUUCUUCCGCAGUACAAGAACACGGGGCACGCGAUCUACACGAUCGCGCGAUCCGAAGUUGGUUCCUUCGUCCAAUGAACACAUCAACUCCUUAUUUGUUGUUGUAGUUCGAUUGAUCAGUGGCGUAUUUGUUCGUUUUCAUGUGUUUUUUGGGAUCGUAGCAAUUUAUUGUUAUAACACACUUUACUGCUAUUUGCAAUUUAUUGUCGUUAAAAUGAACCUGAUGAUCUGAAACUGGCAUCUUGGCUCUGGACACUUACUGUUAGUUCUCUUUUCUCUUUAUUGUGCUUGCUUUGCUGCUUGAACUGAUCUAGCAUUUUAGCAUUGUGCUCGAUUACGCGAAUCAAAUUGAUCUAACAUCUUAACUUUCAAUUUGCUGGGGAGUUUUUUUUUCCCCCUCUUUAUUGUUCUAACUAUGCUCUUUGAACUGACCUGCUUCUACCAUUUGCAUCUUUAAGG